GAGAAAACUAGGGUUGGAUCCACCGUAACAUUUUCACCUCUGUCGUUGAAUUCAUCUCUGUAGUAUAGGAGUUGUCUAUGUUUUAUGUAUUGUGUUUCUGCUUCUGUAAGGUGGGACCCAUCUGAGACAAUGGAUGAGGAUAGUGUUGUUGUUAAACUUAGGAAGAAUGAAAAAAGAACAAUAACAUAAGAUGGAGAUGAAUAAUGCUGUUUCUUCCUCAUCUCACAUGAGGCAUCUGAAAAAAAAUAAUGAAUGUUGUUUUUCACUAGUGAAUGUUUAGAUGAUUCUAAAUGUGUGUUCUUUGUGGUUAACUAGCACAAAUAAAAUUUGAAGUAAGGAUAUGGUAAGAUUAUGAGUUUGUGAGAUCUAAGAGAAAUGGAAAUGGAAAAUGUGGUUGUUUAAUGUGAGAGAGGUAGAGAGAGAAGAUGAGGAAGAUGAUUUUCUAGGGAUUUUGGAACUGUGUGAGAAGGUGUAUAUGAGUGUGUGAAGAGAGAGAAGGUGAGAGUGGAGAUGAAAUAAUUCAUUCCAAGGGACAGCUAAAUCACAGCUCAAAGCCCACCAGAUUCUCUCUCUAUCUUUUUUCCUAGGCUCUUGUUUUUUUAUUCAUAUUUAUGGUUGGUCUUAUUUGUUUUUUUCACUUAACAUUUUUUUCUAACCAUUGUUUAGAUAUACUUGAUCUCCACUAAACUCUCUAAACCAAUCUUUUCUAUUACGAGAAUCACGGUGAUUUGUGAUUUUAUUCAAGCUAUAUAUUUCUUUUUUGACAGAUUAUUGAAGCUAUAUAUAAAAUUACAAUAUAUCACUGUAAUUGCGACAUACACCUGUAAUAUCAAAUAUAUACUAAGAUAUUUUUAGAGUUAAUGAGUCUGUUAAAAGACUAAAAUAUGAGUCCAUUGUCAUGACGUCAACACUUUCAUUAUUAUGUAGUUAUAACUUAUUUGUUUGUGCAUUUUAUUUUUGUGACUUACUAUCGUUUCGUAUACAAAGAAUGUAAGACUAAUCAACUGUAGUUGACAUACAUGAUUUUAGUUGUAACUUUGAUUUUAGUCUAAAAUUUCACUAAUAUGAGUAGUAAGGUUAAUGUUUCUAACAUGGGUGUCCCUUAACUUAAAAUUCUAUUUCCAUUAAAAAAUGCAAGACUAUUUUAGCAUUUACUCUAUUAACUAUAGGUUAAAUUUUUCUAAUUCUUGGUUAAACUACAUUUCAUUUGAGCCAAGAAAAAAACUUAGUUGUCACACACUUUGAAUAAAGGGCAGACGCGGAUAGAAGAAAGAAUAAGGCGUGUGCAAUGGAAUAAACAGUUGUCAAAAAUUAGUAAUAAGACUUCUUAAACCAAAAGAGAAAAACAAGUAUUCUUUUAAGUUGAAAAUAUGUUUAGAAAAAAAAUUAUCAUAAAAAAAAAAAACUAAUCAUUGUUUCCAUUACUAUAUUUUAAACAAAAAAAAUAUAAUGAUGAUUAUUUAGAGUUGUUGUAACUUACUAGUAUUUUUUUAUUGAAGAAAAUAUAGAAAGCUGUUAGCAUGAUCCUCAACUUUGAUGGUAGCUUAAGUUUAAUUAAAUAAUAAUUAAUCAAAGUGUUAAUUGAAUUGUCAAAUCGUUUUGUUUAAUCAUAACCUGAGAAGUGGUUGUUUGUGUCGGCGUCUAUUGCCAUAUCAGCAACCUCUUUUUUAAAUUUAAAUAAAUAAAUAGACAAUAAAAUAAAUUAAUAAAAUUAAGAAUUAAAUUAUGUCAUGGUAUUUGGACUUUUUCAAAUUUCUACAAUCCCGUGAUAUUGAUAAUUUGUGGACGGCUUUUUUGCCUUAUGAAUGAAUUUAUGGCUUUUUCAGAUUAACUUACUCCACCGAUUUCUCUUUUUUUAAUUAAAAUUCUUUUGGAGAUUCUUAAUUAUAGAUGACUAAUUUUAGAGCAACUAAUUAUGGAAAGCAAAAUGUUGAUUGACUUUGAGAGUUAUUAGUAGGUCCUACGAUGUAGAAGAAUGUCAUUGGUCCAUUAGGAAGAAAAUUCAAAGUAUUUUGAUGACGAUUAUUCCGCAAUAGAGACCAAUUAAUAAGAUUGAAUUGAAUGAUUAAGACAAUCCCCAUGUAGAUAGUUGUGUUUAACGGUGAGUAAAUCAUUCCGAAUUUAAUAUGUAUAAUUCUUUUUAACAAAAUGAGUUUCUUUUGUCUCACAAUAAAUAUUACUCAUAUUUUACUGUAGUUUAGGUAGAUGGGUACUCUCUGUCCAUCUAUCCGUUCUUUUUAUUGCAUUAAUAUGUAUAAUUUAUGAACUAUAGUUUUUAUGAAUUUUUGUUUUUUUUUUAAUAAACAAAAAUGGAAUAUAUAUUAAUAAUAAAGAAGCCGCAACUCAAUCACAAGAUGUGCCCAAAGAAGUCAACUCACGUUUACAACCAGAGUCCAACAACCGAAGACAAAAACAGACGAAUUAUGCUCAUUGCCCAAAUGGAUUCGCUCAUUCCCAAAGUAAAUGAUCGAAAUGCCCCUACGCAUGUUAACAUGCGCUAGUGCAAAUUAGAACAUAACUUAAGAUAUGUUGCCUAAGUUAACAUGCACUAGUGUUAAUUGUGUGUUAUUUGUUGAAUACUUAGCGUAUGUUAACAUGCGCCAGUGUAUUGUGUAACGUGAGUUAACUCACGUUUCCAUUUGCUCUAGCGUUAGUUAACUCACGUUCAUACUCCCUCCAUUCCUUUUCUUUUGAUGUUUUAGAACUUCAACUAUAUUCCAAAACUUUUGAUGUUUUAGUGAAUUUGUUAUUGUUUUCUCAAGUUUACCCUUGUUGGAAAACACAAUAAACUAUUAAAGUAGUUGUGACCUUUGGUUUAUCAUAUGUGACUUUAAUGAUAAAUACGGACAUUUAAGUAAAAAAUACACAAAUGUUUAUAUACUUUAAUUACUCCUUAAAACUUGUGUCAAGAGCUAAAACAUCAAAAGAAAAUGAAUGGAGGGAGUAGAAGACAACAGAAACUGCAAUAAGUGCAGGCAGUUACAGAACUGUCUUUUGAAAAGUUUAGAAUGACCCGUAAUCACGACACAUUCAUAACUUAACCGAAUUACGCCAGUUUAAGAAGAUUAUCGAAUAAUACGACAUAAUCGAUCCAAAUUACUCAAAAACAUCGUUUUUCUCACAAUCACGUAAUCACACAUAAACGAUCCAAACGGUCCAAAUUUCACAAAUUCGCCGAUAAUGACCCGUAAUAAUUUAAACACACUCAAUGACACGUAAACGAUCCAAAAUAAUUCAUUUCAUAUAUUUAUAUAAUAUUAGGUACAUAUUGGCCAUAAAUAUCAAAAUUACACAACCAGCCACCAAAAAAAUAUGUCGGGGUGUAAUACCACCAAAAAAUAUAACGAACACCGACCAACCCAAAAGUGUCAUAACCUAUCUAACAAGACUAGUGAUAGUGCAUAUUCUUCGUCUUCAUCCAUGACUUUGAUCUCUUGCUUUGACUUUUCCGGAGUGUCCAAAUUAAUAGGAUUGUGCUCAUUUGUUGGUUUCUUUGGCGGCAUCGGCUCCUUAGACAUGAGCUCAUCGAGGGCGGCUUUUCUAUCGAAAAACUGAAAAAGUCAUUGCUCCACCUCACCAAUCUUGUGAGUCAUCCACUCCUUAGAAGGAGGUGGUAGCGGACAAUUUUCUUUCAACUUCACAUGAAGAAAGUGUUCCGGAAUUAUGCAAAGGCACAUUAUGUUGGAAUGUGGAUUAAGUGGUGGAGCACUCCGGAUUGGGAAAUAUGCCUACUGAAAUAAAAACGAUACUACCAGCAAAACCAGCAAAAAUGAAAGAGUUUUGACGGUACAUUACAUGUUCUUUGAUGCUUGAUGAGCGUAGAAAUUUGUUUCCUGACGAUUUGCAAAGAUUUGGAAUGAAGAUUUUUACCCAAAAUUUCGCACUUUUGGGGUUUUUGGAGGUGGAGGAAAAGAAAAAAUGGAGCUUUGUGGUUGCCUGCUGGAUUUUGAACGAAAAUAGUACUUAACACAAGUUAACAUGCGCUACGUGACUUAAGUAACGUAGCGCAUGUUAACUUGCAUAGGGGCAUUUCAGUCAUUUACUUUGGGAAUGAGCGGAACCAUUUGGAUAAUGAGCAUAAUUCAAAACAGAUUAACCAAUGUCUAAACAAACAAGCGGGCCCAACAACCAACUAUAAAACCCAAGUGCAUAAAUAGCAUUAGCUACCUUCAUCAACCAAUACAAAUGGAUUUUAACUUUGUCUAACAAUUAAAUAAGGGUGUUUUCAAUGUUAUUAAAAAUUCCAUUAUUACGUUAAGUUCAUAACACUCAAAUGUAACAGCCCGAUUUUUAGCUAGAUUUAUUUUAAUUACUUUUAUUUUGUGUUUGUGUGUGAUUUUACCGGGGUUAAUAGUGCUUUUCACCCCUGUAAUAUAUGUCAUUUUCGGUUUGAUUUGCACCCUUGUAAAAAUUUUAUUUUCCGAAAAACACCCCUAAUAGGCCAUUUUCAGAAUUUUUUUUCAAGAAAUUUUGGUUUUUGAAUGGCCUAAUAAGGGUGUUUUCUGGAAAAUAAAUUUUUUACGAUGGUCCAAAUCAAACCGAAAAUUUUAUAGGGGCGAAAAUCGAAAAUGACAUAUAUUACAAGGGUGAAAAACACUAUUAACCCUAUUUUACCGUUAUUAGUUAAAAUAUCGUUUGGAGUGUAGAAAUAUUUUUGGUUUGAAUAGAAACGGGUUAAGCCCAGUAGGGUCUAGAAUUGAGCCCAAUUGAGUUGGAGCAUACCUAAACCUAAAACUUGGAGAGAAAUUCAUUCAUUCCUUUUCAUUUCACAAAGUUAGAGAGGUAGAGAGAGAAAGUGGAAGAAAUGAAGAACAAGGGUUAGAGAAAGGGGGAAGCUUGAAGAUUGAAGAAUUAGGAGCUAAAGUGAAGCUUAAGUUUGGAUUAAUCAUUAUCUAAGGUAAGGGGGUUAGUCUUCAUCAUAAUCAUAAUUGUUUUGUUUGCAAUUUUCUUUAUUUGUAUGAAAAAGUGCUUAAUUGAGCAAGUAUUUAUCUGAACCCAAUCUUUGAAUUUCGUGCUCUUGUUUUGGUGAUAAGUUUGAGUAUGUUAAUUGAAUGAUAAAUGAAUUGUUGGUGAUGAAAUAACAUGUUCAUAAUGUAUGAAAAUGGGUAGUUGUGAAAUUAUGCUUAAUUGAUGAAUUGUGACAUGUUAUUGUUGAAUUGAGGUGAGAAUCAAGUUUCAAUUGAUGUUGUUGUUGCUGAGAUAUGUUGUUGUUUAUGAUUAUGGCUUGGGUGUUCAUAUAUCAUGAUUGUUGGUGAGAAAUAAGAUGCUGUUGGUUGUUUUGCAAAAAUGGGUCAAAUGGUGAUUUUGUUUAAAAUGAUGUUUGAUUCAAGUAGUUAUAUAAAAUUGAGUGUCUUUUCAUGUUGAGAAACGUUUGGAUGCACUUUGGGAUCGAAUUUGGAUAAUGGGAAGUCAAAAAUUGGGAUUUUGGGGUGAAAAUGGAUUUUUCCUGUAAAACAGAAUUUUCUGAACUGUGCUCCCUCGCAAGGCGAGCUGGUGGCGAGCAGCUACUGUGACAACUCGCCAUGGCGAGCAAUCUUCCUCGACAGGCGAGCUUCCCAGUUGCAGCAUCCCAUGUUUUCGCAUUUUGCGUCGUUUUCACUCGUUUCCGUUUUGUUUUGCCUUUUGAUUUUAACAUGAAAGUUUUAGACAAUUGAGUUGGAAUUCCAUUGGCCUUAGUUUGACUUGAAAAUAAUGUUUUGUUUUUGAGUUAUGAAGAAAAUACUCUAAGGAGGUUUUAAUAAAACUUUACGAAAAUUCCGCACAAUUGUUUCUAAGUCAACCUAAACCUUAUGGAUUGUUUCCAAACUUCAAAGUCUGUUUAUUAUAAGUUCAAUUAAAGGUUUUAGAGUAUUUGAAACUUGGUUUAUGAAAUUGAGACUUAAUUUGGAAAAUUACUUAGAAUGUCGAUUUUUCCGGAAUGUGAUUUCUCUUAAGAAAUGGAAUGGGAUUAAUGUUGUUUAAUGAUUACUAAAUUUCCGGAAAUGGAUGAGAUUGGUUCCUUUGAACUUUACUUGGUUUUAUUUUGAAAAUGGAGAUGUAUGGAUGAAUUAUUAUAUGUUGGAUAUGAUAUUAACAUGAGGUGUUGUAUGUUCUCUUACUUGGUAUAUGAGAAAUAUUGCAAUGAUGAGAUGGUAUUGGUGAGUCCGUAUACAUUGUUAUUAUGAUAUGAUAUUGAUUAUGUAUGUGGUGAUGAAUUAUUGAUGUGAUUGCAUAAAUGCAAAUAAAUAUUGGUGAUGAUUUGGUGAGUGGUUGUGUGGACAUAUGCAUUAUUAUUGAGUCAUAUGUUCAUGCAUACAUAUUUGGUGAUGACGGAUAUGUUUAUAUAUCCAAUUGGUGAUGAUAUUGGUGAUGAUGGGCGACGGCCUAAAUAUUGGUGAUGACCGGUACCGCAUGCAUAUAGGUGUUGUGUCUAGGAUCAUAUUUUGAGGUGACAUGAGUCCUAGUUGUGAAAUUACUUGAUGUACUUGUGGUUGUAAGUGAUUGAUGGUGAUGUUUAUAUUUGAUGGAUUGUUGUGUCAUGUUAUGAUUAAUUAUGUGAAUUGAUGAACUCAUGGAAUUGGUGGAAUUGUGAAUGAUGAUUAUUGAUGAUGAUGUGUUCGUUGAAUAUAUGUCGGUGAAACUUGGAUUGCGGUGAUAAUGUAUGUAUGGAAUUUAUCUAUUUUGAUUCAUUACAUGAUAUUGGAUUAUCUUAUUCCUGUUUAUCUGUGUUAUUGAUUAUGUUGAUGUAAUACUCACCCCCAGUUGUUUUAACCACCUACUUGCCUGUAUGUGUGAGUAGACGUUGUGCAGGAGUAGUAGCUUGGUGAGUUCCUGAUGUUGGUGGAUAGUGGGAGCUUUCUCCACUAUCGGGUCUUAGAGUAGAGUUGGCUCUGAUCUAGGGUUUUGUUGUUAGCUCUAGAUCUUGUUGAAUUAUUUUUAUAUUUUGAGAUUUUGUCCAUGUGUCGGACUUGGAGAUUUCAUGCUUAUGUAUUUUGAGAUUACAUGACAUGUAUGGUUGAUGUAUAAUAAUUUGUAUCCGCUGUGACUGAUGAGUUUUUUUAUACAUGCAUGUUAGUUUCUGAUCUUUGGUUUUCGUUUUUGGUGAAAGUAGCGUCUAUUUCUCG
RNAcentral lists this long non-coding RNA (7103 nucleotides) under Medicago truncatula (barrel medic). RNAcentral describes it as "long non-coding RNA (MTRU_LNC004522)". Lineage: Eukaryota; Viridiplantae; Streptophyta; Magnoliopsida; Fabales; Fabaceae. The record is from RNAcentral.